This 253-nucleotide ribosomal RNA is filed under the name uncultured bacterium. RNAcentral's name for it is "partial 16S ribosomal RNA". It matches the Rfam family "Bacterial small subunit ribosomal RNA", at positions 524 to 776 of the family's 1533-position model. The record is from RNAcentral.
UACGAAGGGGGCUAGCGUUGUUAGGAAUUACUGGGCGUAAAGCGCACGUAGGCGGACUACUAAGUCAGGGGUGAAAUCCCGGGGCUCAACCCCGGAACUGCCUUUGAUACUGGUAGUCUCGAGUCCGGAAGAGGUGAGUGGAAUUCCGAGUGUAGAGGUGAAAUUCGUAGAUAUUCGGAGGAACACCAGUGGCGAAGGCGGCUCACUGGUCCGGUACUGACGCUGAGGUGCGAAAGCGUGGGGAGCAAACAGG